RNAcentral lists this ribosomal RNA (253 nucleotides) under uncultured bacterium. RNAcentral's name for it is "partial 16S ribosomal RNA". It matches the Rfam family "Bacterial small subunit ribosomal RNA", at positions 524 to 776 of the family's 1533-position model. The record is from RNAcentral.
UACGAGGGGGGCAAGCGUUGUUCGGAAUUAUUGGGCGUAAAGGGCGCGUAGGCGGUUUGACGAGUCUGAUGUGAAAUCUCUGGGCUCAACCCAGAGUCUGCAUUAGAAACUGUCGGGCUUGAGUAUGGGAGAGGUGAGUGGAAUUUCCGGUGUAGCGGUGAAAUGCGUAGAUAUCGGAAGGAACACCUGUGGCGAAAGCGGCUCACUGGACCAUAACUGACGCUGAGGCGCGAAAGCUAGGGGAGCAAACAGG